UACGUAGGGUCCGAGCGUUGUCCGGAAUUAUUGGGCGUAAAGAGCUUGUAGGCGGUUUGUCGCGUCUGCUGUGAAAAUCCGGGGCUCAACCCCGGACUUGCAGUGGGUACGGGCAGACUAGAGUGUGGUAGGGGAGACUGGAAUUCCUGGUGUAGCGGUGAAAUGCGCAGAUAUCAGGAGGAACACCAGCAGCGGAAAGGCAGUCUCUGGGGCC
Molecule: ribosomal RNA, 214 nt
Filed under: uncultured bacterium
Lineage: Bacteria
Description: partial 16S ribosomal RNA
Rfam family: Bacterial small subunit ribosomal RNA
Source: RNAcentral